GGGUGACUGAUCGCACCCACCAGCUGGCUAACACCAUAAUUAACAAAGUUGCUACUACAUCUGCAAAGUUUAAUCCAAAAAUUUGCCAGCAAUAUGAUGGCAUUGUCACUGAGAUCACAAUGGACACGGAGUCGACUUUUGCUCAAGGUGGAACGGCAAAGCCGUGUUGGCAAGAUGAAGAAUCGCAAAAUUGUUCAGCCAAA
Loxodonta africana (African savanna elephant) is the source of this 203-nucleotide non-coding RNA. NCBI's taxonomy places the organism in Eukaryota, Metazoa, Chordata, Mammalia, Proboscidea, Elephantidae. The record is from Rfam.